UUUGUCAGUAAAGAGCCGGCUGGCGGUCUGGUUUCAGGUGGACCCGGGAUCAGGUGGUCGGGGCUCCACCCCGGCAGCCCGUGGGACCCGUUUGAUGUGAAGGUAUGGGUGGGAUGCUCUCCAAGUUGUAACAUGCCCACGUCCCACCAACCAAACUCAUAGAGCAUGGAUCAAAUGGCAAUCUGUUCUGACUUUCAGCGACAUCAUGGAGGAUUACCGCGAAAGAAUAUGGAGUUUGGAAAUAGACAAAGCAUUAAAGCCUAUGACUGUGUAGUAAUUACACUUUUGAAUAAUUAUUUGAGAGGCAUCUCUCUCCAGUUACUGAGCCUGAUGUUGUGAAAGUGACAGUUAAUGUCGACCACAAGUCGGCCUUCAUAAAUCACAUAAUACAUAAUAAUCGACAAUAUCAAUCUACUUUGUAAAGUAUACGAUAUGGAAGACCCUACGAUUCAAUUCAGUUUAUUUUAUAUAGCCCAAUAACACACAUUCUCCUCAGAGGGCUUUACAGUCUGUACAUAUGACCUUUGACCUCACAUCGAUCAGGAAAAACUCAAAAAUAGAUAAAAAUCCAUUUCACGGGGGGAAAAAUGUGAGAACCCUCCAGGAGAGCAACAGAGGAGGAUCCCUCUCCAGGAGGGACAGAAGCAAUAAUGAUGCAUCAAAAUACAUUUAAAGAGUGCUCUUGUUUAUGUUCUUUGACUUGGUAACAUGUAUAUUAUUAUAGAAACGUGGGCAUUUUUUAAAUGAUAAAAUACUGUUCACAUCGGCACACACACAGUCCGUAUCACACGGAUACGUGCACCGUUUGCCUCAUUUCCGGCCACUAAAACCAGAGGUGGGCGGGGUCGAGCAGCGUGGACCGAUCCAAUCGGAAUAUGACAUUUUAACUGAAACGAGUGCUCCCUGGUGGAGGCCGUGUCAGGCAAGUCCAGAUAAACAAAGCGAUUAGACAUUAUGUCAAUAAAAAAAAGACAACAUGCCUAAUAAAUUGAGACAUUUUCGGUCGAUUUUUUUGUGUGUGUUGCAUUUUCAGUGACUGUGGGGAGCUCCAUGAGGUGGACGAGCCCCGCAGGUGUUACGGUUUAACCGGCGACCCUGUUAACUGGAGACUUUCCACGUAACCUAUAACAAGAUGUCCUAAUGACGUGUCAACCCCUCUCAUAUACUUGAUAAUAUAUACGAUACAGCUUAACCAUAGCGAUGUUCACGAGGGCAGCUAUACGUGUUCUCUGCCCAUUUCCAACGGCUGUCUGUAACUACGACAACAACGGACGCGUUGGUUCAAAGUCGCCAGUUAACACGGUCGCUUCUUACACCGUAACACCGGCCUCGCGACGGCUCGACACGCCGCUCAGUUGGUUCACGUCGGCGACGCGCGGUGGACGACACACGGUCAACGUUACGUCAGCCCUCAGUCGGGUAGUCGUGACGUAUAGAGCUACAGUGCAGCUUUGCCACCACCCACUCUCUACAGUGCGGAAAUACCCAGAUGACGCACUUGAGAGCAAAAAGAAAAUAGGUUGCGAGUGGGAGAGGCAAUAACAUAACUUCAGGCUUCAGUCACCAUAUGGAGAGAGCGUCGGACUGGAUCCGCUCUGACCGCCGGCCCACACAGGAGUGUCAAUAACCACGCGGGGCUCCUCCUACCUCUGUGUCUUCACUAUAAUGUCUACUUUAAUGUAUUUUUUCAACUCAAUGCAAUAAAAAAAUAUCCAUAAAAAAAGUUAAUCAAAAAUACUUCGCCCUCAUACUAUUCACACUCUGACCACUUGAGGGCGCUGUCCGCAAAUAAAUCAGCUCCUCGUUCGCCGUCAUCACUGUGCAGUGCACGGGUAAUGUGUCAGUGACUAGAAUACAUGUCAGGUUCCUCAUUUAAAGCUUACUUUGUGUCAAUAACCAACAUAUCUACACUCAGAUUAUCAUUUUCGUACAAGUCUGACCAACUGUGUCUGAAGGAGAUAUUUAUUUGACGUUAAUAUUUCGUUGUUCACAAGUAAUAUUGUUGAAUUAUUCUAGAUGUUUACUUAUUUGGGUUAGAUUUUUUAUAUAUAUUAGGAUAGAUGUUUCACUUAAAAUAAUCUUUGUGUUAUGUUUAUUGGAGCGACACAGUUUUUUCUUUCUUUCAAUAAAACAACAGUAUUCUUCUACAUUUAUAAUUUUGCAGUAACCUGUUGCAAAGACUGCUAUCAGGAUGCUUUCAUGUGUUGUCCGAAAUGACUGACAGAUUGAGCAAACAACAACAACAACAACAACACCAUUCAAUCAAGAGGGUGUGAAUUGCCCUUUACCUGUUUGUAUUGAAUGUCAGUGGUGUUAUCCACCUUUUGUAUUUGGGGACCCUUUGAGGGGCUUCUUAUUUAUAAAAGUAAGGCAGCUCGCCCUGAGUGCAUGCUGGGGAAAAAACGUCCAAGCAUUUCCUGAACCCACUGAUCCUGUUCAAGGUGCCAUCACUCCUCGGAACGUGUCUUCAUCGUGUAAAGGUUGUUGUAUGUUACAAUGUUGGACAUUGUUUCAAUAAAGGACAAUAGGACAUGUA
Long non-coding RNA from Pseudoliparis swirei, 2536 nucleotides. RefSeq lists it as uncharacterized. The transcript has 2 exons. The record is from RefSeq and is a predicted model, not a curated record. Lineage: Eukaryota; Metazoa; Chordata; Actinopteri; Perciformes; Liparidae.